GACGAACGCUGGCGGCGUGCCUAAUACAUGCAAGUCGAACGCAGUGGGGGCGGGUGAGUAACACGUGGGUAACCUCCCAUCAGAGGGGAUAACACUUGGAAACAGGUGCUAAACCGAUACUGAUGGAUGGACCCGCGGUGCAUUAGCUAGUUGGUGAGGUAACGGCUCACCAAGGCAACGAUGCAUAGCCGGUGUGAGAGGGUGAUCAGCCACACUGGGACGGAGACACGGCCCAGACUCCUACGGGAGGCAGCAGUAGGGAAUCUUGGGCAAUGGACGCAAGUCUGACCGAGAAACGCCGCGUGAGUGAAGAAGGCUUUAGGAUCGUAAAGCUCUUUUGGUAGAGAAGCGGUAUCUAACCAGAAAGCAACGGCUAACUACGUGCCAGCAGCCGCGGUAAUAC
Molecule: ribosomal RNA, 403 nt
Filed under: uncultured bacterium
Lineage: Bacteria
Description: partial 16S ribosomal RNA
Rfam family: Bacterial small subunit ribosomal RNA
Source: RNAcentral